CCUACGGGCGGCAGCAGUAGGGAAUCUUCCACAAUGGGCGAAAGCCUGAUGGAGCAACGCCGCGUGGGUGAAGAAGGUCUUCGGAUCGUAAAACCCUGUUGUUAGAGAAGAAAGUGCGUGAGAGUAACUGUUCACGUUUCGACGGUAUCUAACCAGAAAGCCACGGCUAACUACGUGCCAGCAGCCGCGGUAAUACGUAGGUGGCAAGCGUUAUCCGGAUUUAUUGGGCGUAAAGGGAACGCAGGCGGUCUUUUAAGGCUGAGGUGAAAGCCUUCGGCUUAACCGGAGUAGUGCAUUGGAAACUGGGAGACUGGAGUGCAGAAGAGGAGAGAGGAACUCCAUGUGUAGCGGUGAAAUGCGUAGAUAUAUGGAAGAACACCAGUGGCGAAAGCGGCUCUCUGGUCUGUAACUGACGCUGAGGUUCGAAAGCGUGGGUAGCAAACAGGAUUAGAUACCCGUGUAGUC
RNAcentral lists this ribosomal RNA (465 nucleotides) under uncultured bacterium. RNAcentral describes it as "partial 16S ribosomal RNA". It matches the Rfam family "Bacterial small subunit ribosomal RNA", at positions 338 to 795 of the family's 1533-position model. The record is from RNAcentral.